UACGUAGGGUGCAGGCGUUACUCGGAAUUACUGGGCGUAAAGCGUGCGUAGGCGGCCAACUAAGUCAUACGUGAAAUCCCUCAGCUUAACUGGGGAACUGCGUGUGAUACUGGAUGGCUUGGAUUUGGGAGAGGGAUGCGGAAUUCCAGGUGUAGCGGUGAAAUGCGUAGAUAUCUGGAGGAACACCGGUGGCGAAGGCGGCAUCCUGGACCAAUAUUGACGCUGAGGAGCGAAAGCCAGGGGAGCAAACGGG
Molecule: ribosomal RNA, 253 nt
Filed under: uncultured bacterium
Lineage: Bacteria
Description: partial 16S ribosomal RNA
Rfam family: Bacterial small subunit ribosomal RNA
Source: RNAcentral